This 280-nucleotide long non-coding RNA is filed under the name Brassica napus (rape). RNAcentral's name for it is "long non-coding RNA (BNAP_LNC024566)". Lineage: Eukaryota; Viridiplantae; Streptophyta; Magnoliopsida; Brassicales; Brassicaceae. The record is from RNAcentral.
CUAUUGAUCAUUGCAACCUUUAGAAAUAACUAUAUUAAUUAAUGGAUAAUUAAUUACAACUUUUGGUGAUUAAGCAUUGUAACUCUUUACUAACCAUUGCAACUCCUUAUUAACUUUUGUAUCUUUUGGUUUAACCAUUGCAAUUAUUGGUUGCAACUCUUCAUUCUCUAUAUAAAGAAUAAUAGACAUUUGCAAAUGGAUAUAAAAAAAUCAGAAACUAAUAAAAGGAGAAAAAAAUUUAUUGUGUAAAGAUUAUCAAAGACUUUGAAGAAACACAUAU